AUAGAUAGUCGGGCUUGAUUGGGAAACAAUAACAUGGUUUAUGUGCUCGUUCUGGGUAAAUAAAGUUUCUAUCAUUUAUGGUAGUUUCUUGUUCCCCGGAUAGUUUAGUUACGUAGCCAAUUGUGGAACUUUCUUGCUAAAAUUUUUAAGAAUACUAGUUGGGGUACCAAUUAGUUCUUUUAAAUUAUAACGAUUAUCAAUUAACAAUCAAUUCAGAACUGGCACGGACUUGGGGAAUCCGACUGUCUAAUUAAAACAAAGCAUUGUGAUGGCCCUAGCGGGUGUUGACACAAUGUGAUUUCUGCCCAGUGCUCUGAAUGUCAAAGUGAAGAAAUUCAAGUAAGCGCGGGUCAACGGCGGGAGUAACUAUGACUCUCUUAAGGUAGCCAAAUGCCUCGUCAUCUAAUUAGUGACGCGCAUGAAUGGAUUAACGAGAUUCCUACUGUCCCUAUCUACUAUCUAGCGAAACCACAGCCAAGGGAACGGGCUUGGAAUAAUUAGCGGGGAAAGAAAACCCUUUUGAGCUUGACUCUAAUCUGGCAGUGUAAGGAGACAUAAGAGGUGUAGAAUAAGUGGGAGAUAUUAGACUUCGGUUUGGUAUCGACAAUGAAAUACCACUACUCUUAUUGUUUCCUUACUUACUUGAUUAAAUGGAACGUGUAUCAUUUCCUAGCCAUUAUACGGAUAUAAUUAUUAUGUCUUAUGGUAUUGGGUUUUGAUGCAAGCUUCUUGAUCAAAGUAUCACGAGUUUGUUAUAUAAUCGCAAACAAAUUCUUUAAUGAGAGAAUGCAUUUAUGUAUUAUUGAUUUAAAAAUUUGGUAUAACUCCAAUUACUCAGGUAUGAUCCAAUUCAAGGACAUUGCCAGGUAGGGAGUUUGACUGGGGCGGUACAUCUCUCAAAUAAUAACGGAGGUGUCCCAAGGCCAGCUCAGUGCGGACAGAAACCACACAUAGAGCAAAAGGGCAAAUGCUGACUUGAUCUCGGUGUUCAGUACACACAGGGACAGCAAAAGCUCGGCCUAUCGAUCCUUUUGGUUUAAAGAGUUUUUAACAAGAGGUGUCAGAAAAGUUACCAUAGGGAUAACUGGCUUGUGGCGGCCAAGCGUUCAUAUCGACGUCGCUUUUUGAUCCUUCGAUGUCGGCUCUUCCUAUCAUUGUGAAGCAAAAUUCACCAAGCGUUGGAUUGUUCACCCAUGCAAGGGAACGUGAGCUGGGUUUACACCGUCGUGAGACAGGUUAGUUUUACCCUACUAAUGACAAAACGUUGUUGCGACAGCAUUCCUGCGUAGUACGAGAGGAACCGCAGGUACGGACCAAUGGCACAAUACUUGUUCGAGCGAACAGUGGUAUGACGCUACGUCCGUUGGAUUAUGCCUGAACGCCUCUAAGGUCGUAUCCGUGCUGGACUGCAAUGAUAAAUAAGGGGCAAUUUGCAUUGUAUGGCUUCUAAACCAUUAAAAGUUUUUAAUUUGUUUUAUUAACGACAAUGGAUGUGAUGCCAAUGUUAUUUAUAACAUAGUAAAUUGGGAGGAUCUUCGAUCACCUGAUGCCGCGCUAGUUAUAUUUUAAAACAUUAUUUAAUACAAUGUCAAAGCCUAGAAUCAAUUGUAAACGACUUUUGUAACAGGCAAGGUGUUGUAAGUGGUUGAGCAGCUGCCAUACUGCGAUCCACUGAAGCUUAUCCUUUGCUUGAUGAUUCGA
Molecule: ribosomal RNA, 1701 nt
Filed under: Drosophila virilis
Lineage: Eukaryota; Metazoa; Arthropoda; Insecta; Diptera; Drosophilidae
Description: eukaryotic LSU rRNA
Rfam family: Eukaryotic large subunit ribosomal RNA
Source: RNAcentral